This is a non-coding RNA of Paramuricea clavata, 411 nucleotides long. The record is from the annotation of a GenBank genome assembly. Lineage: Eukaryota; Metazoa; Cnidaria; Anthozoa; Malacalcyonacea; Plexauridae.
CUGCUAAUAAUUUUACAAAAAGUCAAGUACAUCCUUCCAGAAUGUGUAUGUACUUUGCCUAUGGAGCCUUGUUUUCAUGAAUGUGGCAUGAGUUUUAGUCCAAUGUCUCAAUCAUGAAAAUGACUCUACAGCCUAUAGCCAAGGUGACAUAAUUUCUGGAAGCAUGUAAAAUACAGUAUGUUCAGUUUCCAAAAAUGUGGCUUGGUACUGUAUUUUGCCACUCACAAAGAAGUGUGUCAUUGUGGAAUAAAUCUGCAAUAAAAAAGAAUAGAUUAAUUAUACAGGUUGUACAAGAAUCCACCAGUAACAUAAUUAUAGCACAUGAUCAUUGAGGUAAACAAAAGAAUGUGACCUAACAUGGGCGUACCGGAAGGAAAAAUUUAGGGGGGCGGAAAGAAAUUUGCCCGACUG